GCGACGAUAGCUCAGUGGCAGAGCGGUGGGGCGUUUACCCAUGCGGCCCGGGUUCGAUUCCCGGUCGAUGUA
This is a non-coding RNA of Phthorimaea operculella (potato tuberworm), 72 nucleotides long. Lineage: Eukaryota; Metazoa; Arthropoda; Insecta; Lepidoptera; Gelechiidae. The record is from the annotation of a GenBank genome assembly.